This 1221-nucleotide ribosomal RNA is filed under the name Triticum aestivum (bread wheat). RNAcentral describes it as "partial small subunit ribosomal RNA". The record is from RNAcentral. Lineage: Eukaryota; Viridiplantae; Streptophyta; Magnoliopsida; Poales; Poaceae.
AUGUCGGCGAUGAUGGGGGCGCGGCUGGACCUGGCGCCCUUCCUCCUCUCCCCGUCGCCCUCGCCGCCCUCCUCCGCCCUCCGCCUCCGGACCUCCCCGCCCUCUCCGGCGGCGGCGGCGAGGACCCGCUUGCUCGCCCCGAGGGCUGCCGCCGCGGCGACCGCCGUCUCCGCCAAGCCGGCGGCGGCCGCGCCGCUGUCCGCCGACCGCUCCGUCGUCCGCCUCGGGCUCCCCAGCAAGGGCCGCAUGGCCGAGCUAACCCUAAGCCUCCUCAAGAGUUGCCAGUUGUCGGUGAGGCAGCUCAACCCGCGGCAAUACACCGCCGACAUCCCACAGGUUCCAAAUUUGGAGGUUUGGUUUCAGAGGCCCACUGAUAUUGUUCGUAAACUAUGUUCAGGGGAUCUUGAUCUUGGUAUUGUGGGUUAUGACAUAAUCAGUGAAUACGCGCAGGGCAAUGAUGAUCUAGUUAUUAUUCAUGAUGCUCUCGAUUUCGGACAUUGUCGCCUGUCCCUUGCGGUGCCAAAGGAAGGUAUUUUUGAUAGCAUCAAUACUCUGGAGGAUUUGUUAAAUAUGCCUCAAUGGACUGAAGAAAGACCCAUGCGUGUCGUUACAGGAUUUGGUUAUGUAGGUGCAAAGUUUUUGAAAGAAAAGGGUUUCAAACAUGUUUCAUUUUUAGCUGGUGAUGGUGCUCUCGAGUCAUAUCCUGCUAUGGGUAUGGCUGACGCUAUCGUGGAUCUUGUGAGUAGUGGAACGACUUUGCGUGAGAAUAAUUUGAAGGAAAUUGAUGGUGGAAUCAUUUUGGAAAGCCAGGCAACACUUGUAGCAAGUAAGAAAUCUCUGAACAGGCGUGAAGGUGUGUUAGAGAUUUCACAUGAAAUGCUUGAAAGAUUAGAGGCUCACCUCACAGCGUCUGGCAAGAUAAUGGUAACAGCAAAUAUGAGGGGCAAUAGUGCAGAAGAAGUGGCAGAGAGAGUUCUCAGCCAAACAUCAUUAUGUGGAUUACAGGGCCCAACUAUAAGUCCAGUGUAUUGCACACUUGAUGGCAAGGUUGCCGUGGACUACUAUGCUAUUAAUGUUGUAGUUCCCCAAAAGUCGCUUUACAAGUCUAUUCAACAACUGAGAUCUAUUGGUGGCAGCGGCGUCUUGGUGUCGAAACUGACCUACAUAUUUGACGAGGAGACUCCUAGGUGGCGCAAGCUUCUGUCGGAGCUGGGAAUGUGA